This 232-nucleotide ribosomal RNA is filed under the name uncultured bacterium. RNAcentral's name for it is "partial 16S ribosomal RNA". It matches the Rfam family "Bacterial small subunit ribosomal RNA", at positions 15 to 224 of the family's 1533-position model. The record is from RNAcentral.
GAUCAUGGCUCAGGAUGAACGCUGGCGGCGUGCCUAACACAUGCAAGUCGAACGAAGCUUGACGGAUGAUUUCUUCGGAAUGAAACCUGAUAUGACUUAGUGGCGGACGGGUGAGUAACACGUGAGCAACCUGCCUUUCAGAGGGGGAUAACGGCUGGAAACGGUCGCUAAUACCGCAUGAUGUGUUCGGAUGGCAUCAUCUAGAACAUACAAAGUAUUUAUCGCUAGAAAG